UAGGGAAUCUUCGGCAAUGGACGGAAGUCUGACCGAGCAACGCCGCGUGAGUGAAGAAGGUUUUCGGAUCGUAAAGCUCUGUUGUAAGAGAAGAACGAGUGUGAGAGUGGAAAGUUCACACUGUGACGGUAUCUUACCAGAAAGGGACGGCUAACUACGUGCCAGCAGCCGCGGUAAUACGUAGGUCCCGAGCGUUAUCCGGAUUUAUUGGGCGUAAAGCGAGCGCAGGCGGUUAGAUAAGUCUGAAGUUAAAGGCUGUGGCUUAACCAUAGUACGCUUUGGAAACUGUUUAACUUGAGUGCAGAAGGGGAGAGUGGAAUUCCAUGUGUAGCGGUGAAAUGCGUAGAUAUAUGGAGGAACACCGGUGGCGAAAGCGGCUCUCUGGUCUGUAACUGACGCUGAGGCUCGAAAGCGUGGGGAGCAAACAGGAUUAGAUACCCUGGUAGUCCACGCCGUAACGAUGAGUGCUAGGGGUNNGGUGNCNUUUUCCGGGACUCAGUGNCGCAGCUAACGCAUUAAGCACUCCGCCUGGGGAGUACGACCGCAAGGUUG
RNAcentral lists this ribosomal RNA (552 nucleotides) under uncultured bacterium. RNAcentral describes it as "bacterial SSU rRNA". It matches the Rfam family "Bacterial small subunit ribosomal RNA", at positions 355 to 896 of the family's 1533-position model. The record is from RNAcentral.